GGAACCUAGCAUAGCUGUCUUCUGAGAGGCUCCACACAGUGAAGGAUGGAAACAGAUGCUGAGACUCAUGGUCAAAGACUGAGUGCGGGAUCCUUGUGGAAGAGUUGAGAAAGGUUUCUCUGGAUGUGGAUGGCACUGUUUCACCGCUGGGGCCCCAGGCUGAGUAAGGAGAAAGUGAGCUGAGCACCAGCACUCGUUUCUCUGCUCAGAGGCUGCAAGCCCAUAGUGACCGUGCUUUUGUCGCUAGGCCUUCCCCGCCUGUGCCGGGCGGUGGAUGGUCCCCACCACAUACUCUUGUUUUCAGACAUCAAUAUCUGGCUUUGAGGGGCACAAAAAGAUAAAGGAACGUGGAUUCAUAGCUCGCUGGGAUGCCUGGCAAUUCUAAUUCAGCCCGACUGCAAAUGGACACAAGACUGGUGUGACUUCUCCUGAGGCCAGAGAAGGCUGGGUCUCUUUGGUGAAGAAUCCUCUUCCUGGAAUGGCCGAGGGCAACAGAGGCUGGAUUCAGAAGCCCACAGAGCUGGGGAUGUGGGCUGCAGCGGGACUCCUGCAGGGAAAGGCUGCCAUCUUGUGGUCAGCUUGAUGCUCUGCACGCCUUUGAACUAUCUCACUGCAGAAGCCAGCAGCAAGCCCCGGGGCAAAGGAGUUUGCAAAAGCUGGAUUUCUGCAGGACACGGUGAAUGCCUUUAAGAGUCACCCAGACAGUGGCCAGGCCCCUCCGAGGUAGACUCAUGUGACUAUUGUGCAUGUAUGUUGUUAUUCCCGAGCCAAGCCCAGGCCUCACAGACACUCUGAACAUGGGCAAAAAUGAGCAGGAACACGGGCAAACAAGUCCACAGUGAGAACAACAACCAGACAAAUAUGUUCCGUGUGCUUACUGUGUUCCUGGAGGACAGCCCGGUGAAGAAUGUCCAGGCCAAGGUAAGGAGGGAAGAACUAGAAUGCUGGUUCGUAUUCUAAGGAGACAGAAAUGGCCUGUGGCUCUUCAUCCAGCGAGAUCUGUAAGCCAAACCAGAGCAGGCAAGAUCUCUGGCCUGUGUGGACAUUAUAAAAAUGUUGCACAUGUUGUGAAAAAAAAAGAAAGAAAGAAUGAAAGAAAGAAAGGAAGGAAGGAAGGAAGGAAGGAAGGAAGGAAGAAAGAAAGAAGAAAGAAAGAAAGAAAGAAAGAAAGAAAGAAAGAAAGAAAGAAGAAAGAAAGAAAACCAAACAAUAUAGACAGGUUCAGAGAGCAACAAAAGACUGGCGUCCUGCCCCUCCCCCCAGUCACCCACAGCUCACACUCCAUCAGCCUCGCAGACAUCUUGCCACAAAUAUACAUAAGUGGAGAUUCAAAACACACCUUCAUUUGAAUGUCAUCGGACCUUCCAUCCCAUUGGGCAGGGGGCUUUGUCACUUGGGACCGUGCCAGCGGUAACAUCCUAGGUUGAUAAUAUUUAAGCCAGCUGGGUGGUGGUGGUGCACGCCUUUAAUCCCAGCACUGGGGAGGCAGAGGCAGGUGGGCUCUGUGAGCUCCAGGCCAGCCUGGUCUACAGAGGGAGUUUCAGGACAGCCAAGGCUGCACAGAGAAACCCUGUCUCGAAAAACCAAACCAAA
This is a long non-coding RNA of Meriones unguiculatus (Mongolian gerbil), 1593 nucleotides long. RefSeq lists it as uncharacterized. Lineage: Eukaryota; Metazoa; Chordata; Mammalia; Rodentia; Muridae. The record is from RefSeq and is a predicted model, not a curated record. The transcript is spliced from 4 exons.